UAUAUAUAUCCACACACACGCACAUGGAUUAGUGUACGCCACAAUUUUCCAAAUGCAGUUCGAAUACUUCAUCAAGAUUUAUAUUUUGUGGAUGAAGACACAAGCUCUGCCCAACAAAGGAGAGUUUUCUAGCAGCGAUUGAAUCAAAGCAAUGGAGGAGAAUCCUCGAAGACAAGAAGCUGAACUUCACAAAUGAAUGGUGAUGAUCUUUGCGGGAAAAAGAAGAAGUGUCUCAUAAUUUCGACAAAGAGCCGAUUCAGAAGUCAUAGGAUGCGCGUGCUUCACACCAAUUUUUGAAGAGCGCAUUUUGAUUCAGGUGAAGACAAGAUGCCGUAACUCCUCUUAAGGGCCAUAUCA
This 357-nucleotide long non-coding RNA is filed under the name Physcomitrium patens. RNAcentral describes it as "long non-coding RNA (PPAT_LNC011140)". The record is from RNAcentral. Lineage: Eukaryota; Viridiplantae; Streptophyta; Bryopsida; Funariales; Funariaceae.